GAUGAACGCUGGCGGCGUGCCUAAUACAUGCAAGCCGAGCGAACGGACGAGAAGCUUGCUUCUCUGAUGUUAGCGGCGGACGGGUGAGUAACACGUGGAUAACCUACCUAUAAGACUGGGAUAACUUCGGGAAACCGGAGCUAAUACCGGAUGAUAUUUUGAACCGCAUGGUUCAAUAGUGAAAGACGGUCUUGCUGUCACUUAUAGAUGGAUCCGCGCUGCAUUAGCUAGUUGGUAAGGUAACGGCUUACCAAGGCAACGAUGCAUAGCCGACCUGAGAGGGUGAUCGGCCACACUGGAACUGAGACACGGUCCAGACUCCUACGGGAGGCAGCAGUAGGGAAUCUUCCGCAAUGGGCGAAAGCCUGACGGAGCAACGCCGCGUGAGUGAUGAAGGUCUUCGGAUCGUAAAACUCUGUUAUUAGGGAAGAACAAAUGUGUAAGUAACUAUGCACAUCUUGACGGUACCUAAUCAGAAAGCCACGGCUAACUACGUG
This 497-nucleotide ribosomal RNA is filed under the name uncultured bacterium. RNAcentral's name for it is "partial 16S ribosomal RNA". It matches the Rfam family "Bacterial small subunit ribosomal RNA", at positions 28 to 507 of the family's 1533-position model. The record is from RNAcentral.